RNAcentral lists this ribosomal RNA (487 nucleotides) under uncultured bacterium. Its description in RNAcentral is "bacterial SSU rRNA". It matches the Rfam family "Bacterial small subunit ribosomal RNA", at positions 29 to 507 of the family's 1533-position model. The record is from RNAcentral.
ACGAACGCUGGCGGCGUGGAUUAGGCAUGCAAGUCGAACGGUAUCAUCCUUUCGGGGAUGAGAGAGUGGCGAACGGGUGAGUAACACGUAGGUGAUCUACCCUCAAGACGGGGACAACCCAGGGAAACUUGGGCUAAUACCGGAUGUGAGCUAUCGUGAGAUAGUUUGAAAGGUGGCUUCGGCUGCCGCUUGAGGAUGAGCCUGCGUCCUAUUAGCUAGUUGGUGAGGUAACGGCUCACCGAGGCAGUGAUAGGUAGGCGGCCUUAACGGGUGGUCGCCCACACUGGGAUUGAGAUACGGCCCAGACUCCUACGGGAGGCAGCAGUCGAGAAUAGUCUACAAUGGUCGGAAGACUGAUAGUGCGACGCCGCGUGAACGAUGAAUCCCUUCGGGGUGUAAAGUUCUUUUAUAUGUGAGCAGUGCUUCUUAUAUUAACAGUAUGGGGAGAGAGAUAUUAGCAUAUGAAUAAGCAACGGCUAACUCCGUG